RNAcentral lists this ribosomal RNA (373 nucleotides) under uncultured bacterium. Its description in RNAcentral is "bacterial SSU rRNA". It matches the Rfam family "Bacterial small subunit ribosomal RNA", at positions 527 to 898 of the family's 1533-position model. The record is from RNAcentral.
GGAAGGGGCAAGCGUUGUUCGGAAUCAUUGGGCGUAAAGGGCGCGUAGGCUGUUUUGUAUGUCUGCUGUAAAAGCACACGGCUCAACCGUGUAAAGUCGGUAGAAACUGCAAAACUUGAGGCUGGGAGAGGUUGGUGGAAUUCCCUGUGUAGCGGUGAAAUGCGUAGAUAUAGGGGAGAACACUCGUGGCGAAGGCGGCCAGCUGGACCAGUCCUGACGCUGAGGCGCGACAGCGUGGGGAGCAAACAGGAUUAGAUACCCUGGUAGUCCACGCCGUAAACGAUGGGCACUAGGUGUUGGCGGUACUGAUUCCGUCUGCGCCGGCGUUAACGCAGUAAGUGCCCCGCCUGGGGAGUACGGUCGCAAGGCUGAA